CCAGUGAGAAUUGAACUGCUAGCAAUCAGCAGAAUUGGCCUGCAAUACUGUGUUAUAACCACUGUGCCACCACGGCUGAUAUCGUUGUAUCUCAGCUACUUCACAAGAUUGUUGGAGUCCUGUCUGUAUGAGGAAUGAAGCUGUAAUUGCAAAAAUCAAGGGUUCCCAGAUGAGAUACAGUUGUGGCAUCAACAAAACUAAGUGCUUUCUGCAGCAAAAGGAAGCUGCUGGGAAUAUUUCAGAAGAUUGAAAGUUGAGGAGGCCUCUCAAACAUCACAGCCAAGAAAGGAAAAACUGAAAGUGCGCUUCCCUGGAUGAUAUCAUGACUGGAAUGCAGCUAGCGUGGUUUUCUUUGGGUCCUCUGAUAAGAGAUGAGAUUUCCUUUUCUUUGUUGGAUUUUACAAAUCUGGACUUCAGCCAUCUGUGCUAAAA
This is a long non-coding RNA of Ahaetulla prasina, 432 nucleotides long. RefSeq lists it as uncharacterized. The record is from RefSeq and is a predicted model, not a curated record. Lineage: Eukaryota; Metazoa; Chordata; Lepidosauria; Squamata; Colubridae. The transcript is spliced from 3 exons.